GAUGAAGAACGCAGCGAAAUGCGAUACUUGGUGUGAAUUGCAGAAUCCCGUGAACCAUCGAGUCUUUGAACGCAAGUUGCGCCCGAAGCCAUUAGGCCGAGGGCACGCCUGCCUGGGCGUCACACGUCGUUGCCCCCCCAUCUACUCCUUCGGGAUUGCGGGGGGCGGAUGAUGGCCUCCCGUGCGCCUCGUCGUGCGGUUGGCCUAAAUGCCAAGUCCUCGGCGACGCACGCCACGACAAUCGGUGGUUGCGAAACCUCGGUUGCCUGUCGUGUGCGGUCGUCGCGCAUCGAGGGCUCGAAAAAAUUGCCGGGCUUCGGCUCGACUUUCAACGCGACCCCAGGUCAGGCGGGGUUACCCGCUGAAUUUAAGCAUAUCAAUAAGCGGAGGA
RNAcentral lists this unclassified non-coding RNA (391 nucleotides) under soil metagenome. RNAcentral's name for it is "partial contains 5.8S ribosomal RNA, internal transcribed spacer 2, and large subunit ribosomal RNA". The stretch from base 1 to 122 matches the Rfam family "5.8S ribosomal RNA", at positions 35 to 154 of the family's 154-position model. The record is from RNAcentral.